This 301-nucleotide ribosomal RNA is filed under the name uncultured bacterium. RNAcentral's name for it is "partial 16S ribosomal RNA". It matches the Rfam family "Bacterial small subunit ribosomal RNA", at positions 509 to 809 of the family's 1533-position model. The record is from RNAcentral.
CAGUAGCCACGGUAAUACGUAGGGUGCGAGCGUUAAUCGGAAUUACUGGGCGUAAAGCGUGCGCAGGCGGUUAUAUAAGACAGAUGUGAAAUCCCCGGGCUCAACCUGGGACCUGCAUUUGUGACUGUAUAGCUAGAGUACGGUAGAGGGGGAUGGAAUUCCGCGUGUAGCAGUGAAAUGCGUAGAUAUGCGGAGGAACACCGAUGGCGAAGGCAAUCCCCUGGACCUGUACUGACGCUCAUGCACGAAAGCGUGGGGAGCAAACAGGAUUAGAUACCCGCGUAGUCCCUGUCUCUUAUAA